Molecule: ribosomal RNA, 253 nt
Filed under: uncultured bacterium
Lineage: Bacteria
Description: partial 16S ribosomal RNA
Rfam family: Bacterial small subunit ribosomal RNA
Source: RNAcentral
UACGAAGGGGGCUAGCGUUGUUCGGAAUUACUGGGCGUAAAGCGCACGUAGGCGGAUCAUUUAGUCAGGGGUGAAAUCCCGGGGCUCAACCUCGGAACUGCCUUUGAUACUGAUGGUCUCGAGUCCGAUAGAGGUGAGUGGAAUUCCUAGUGUAGAGGUGAAAUUCGUAGAUAUUAGGAAGAACACCAGCGGCGAAGGCGGCUCACUGGAUCGGUACUGACGCUGAGGUGCGAAAGCGUGGGGAGCAAACAGG